AGAGGCAGACCAGGGGAACUGAAACAUCUAAGUACCCUGAGGAAGAGAAAACAAUAGUGAUUCCGUCAGUAGCGGCGAGCGAACGCGGAUUAGCCCAAACCAAGGAGCUUGCUCCUUGGGGUUGUGGGACGUCUCACAUGGAGUUACAAAGGAACCGGUUAGAUGAAGAGGUCUGGAAAGGCCCGCCAGAGAAGGUAAAAGCCCUGUAGUUCAAAACUUGUUCCCUCCGAGACGGAUCCC
This 240-nucleotide ribosomal RNA is filed under the name Paenibacillus polymyxa. RNAcentral describes it as "partial 23S ribosomal RNA". It matches the Rfam family "Bacterial large subunit ribosomal RNA", at positions 175 to 409 of the family's 2925-position model. Lineage: Bacteria; Bacillati; Bacillota; Bacilli; Caryophanales; Paenibacillaceae. The record is from RNAcentral.